GUGUUAUAUGAAAGGAGAGAAGGUCAGCACUCCCCUUGACAAGGAUGGAAGAUGUCGUUAGGCCUGAAAACAGGCUAAGGCCUUGUUACUCCUGUCUUCUAACCUGGCAUCUAACCAUGGUUUUCA
RNAcentral lists this non-coding RNA (126 nucleotides) under Sciurus vulgaris (Eurasian red squirrel). Lineage: Eukaryota; Metazoa; Chordata; Mammalia; Rodentia; Sciuridae. The record is from RNAcentral.